Paramuricea clavata is the source of this 1853-nucleotide non-coding RNA. The record is from the annotation of a GenBank genome assembly. Lineage: Eukaryota; Metazoa; Cnidaria; Anthozoa; Malacalcyonacea; Plexauridae.
AAAGGUGGCCCAGAUUUCUUGGUCUAGUGGCAGUCGGAGUGCAUGGUCUAGUGGUCUACUGGCGGUCGAAGUCGACACUACCAAAAUCUAGUCCAAACCUAGGCCAGGCUUAGGCUCGUAGUGUAAACACGGCUUCAGAUGCAGACAAGUCUCGGUAAAAAAAAUUUUUAACCCAUUAAGCUGCUGAGCUUUUCCAUUGACAAGCCUCAGACUUGGUGAUUGUCGGGGAAUAUUCACCUCAACUUUGUCUCUGCAAAUAUUCCCCGAUAUAAAUCACCUCACCUUUGGCGAACAAUUGUUAACACCAACACAAAUAUUAUCAUAUACAAAGCAGACAACAAAUUACAUUAUUAUUCUUUUGAUAUAACUUAUAUAAUUUGAUGAAUUAUUUUUAGUUGCAGAAAAAACAGCAUUAUUGGAGGCAGAAAAACGGAAAUCAACAGGAAAUCUCCCACUGCCAAAGAGAAAAGCCAGACAAUGUAGCAAGUGCAAGGCACCAAUGAAGGUCACCUGCGAUCACAUUGUCCACACGAUGCUCCACAGACUUGAUCUGUUUACUGUAUAUUUUCAUUGUUUGUAAAUAUUGUAAAUAUUGUAAAUAGUUAAGAGAGUUGUUGUAUAUAUUGUUGAAAUAUAAUAAGUAUGAACAGAAUUAUGCAUCAGUCAGUGUACCCCCUCCCCCAACCCCUCAUAAGCUAGGAAUUGCUGGGAAUUUAAGCCUGAUUUACAUUUCAGUCAAGGGAUCUCAAAGUGGGCAAUAUGUAAAACUAAUUGUGUAAACGUCCUCUGGUUAAAAAGAUUUAUUUAUUACUAAAUAAAUAAAUAAGUAAUAAAUAAAUCUUUUUAACCAGAGAACGUUUACACAAUUAAUUAUGAAUCCUGGAUUUUUAAAUAUGUAAAACAUUAAGAGGAGAUUUUUUACAAACUCGCGUAAUUUUUGUCAAAAACGCUCAAAACUUAGUAACCAGGCUUUUGCUACUAAGGGCCAAAAACCCGGGAGCUUAUACCCGGGUUACGGCGAACUGCAAGUGAGCGAUACUUCAAAAACGUUUUGGCGGGAAAAAAUAUAACAGCAAAAAGAAAGCAUUAAAGACAAAAAAGUUUAAGUGAAAAGGUUAGUACAAUUAUUCUUUAUUCCAUAUUAAAUUCUGGUUCAAAAUUCUAUGCUAAAAGUGUAAUUUUUUGUGAAUUGCGACAGGUCAAAACGUACGCUAUGCCUAUGGCCUUUUAAAUAACCUUGCCCUUGGCCUUAAUAAUGUUGCCAAUAACUGUUAAAAUUGAAAUAAAAUAUACAGAAAAACGCAUUUAAAUACGCUUUAUAAUAUAUCGCAGAACGACUGCAUUGAAUAAAAGUAAAAUGGACUUUAAAUACACUCUUUUUGUGAUAUUUUCCCCGUUUUCAACAGCUAUAUUCCUAGGUAAACAAAAUGUUUUGUUUGUUUUAAAAAAACCCUUUUCAAUACUAGUACUACACUGUCUGACAGAGUUUUUUAAAAACAAUAUUCAUAGACCAAAUUGGCAUUCAAGUGAAGAUGGAAGGCGAAGUUCCUUCAACUUCAACUGGCAGUGUUAUAGAAAUAAAGGUAGUGUAAGUUUAUGUUUCCUAGGUAUUAGUAUAAUUAGAAAUUUAUUUCCUUGCUAGUAUGGGAUACCCGGUGUUUAAUAAUACAACAUUAAACCGGGCAAAAACGUCUCUACACGAUUAUAAAUCCUUCAUGAAGUUGUAAAUCUAUAAGCAUAAAACUGGGCCUGAAGUAAUUUUCAAUUUGGAUUCGCGAGUUACCUCCAGCAUUUUUAAACAAGAAUUCAUAGUUUACUGGUACACAUGUCGUAGCCUAGCUAUCUAAAUAAAU